AAGGUUGUAGCUUAAUUAAAGUGUCUGCUUUGCACGCAGAAGAUGUGGGUUAGUGUUCCUGUCAAUCUUA
Molecule: transfer RNA, 70 nt
Filed under: Acanthogobius hasta (javeline goby)
Lineage: Eukaryota; Metazoa; Chordata; Actinopteri; Gobiiformes; Gobiidae
Description: tRNA-Ala
Rfam family: tRNA
About the family: Transfer RNA (tRNA) molecules are approximately 80 nucleotides in length. Their secondary structure includes four short double-helical elements and three loops (D, anti-codon, and T loops).
Source: RNAcentral